UACGUAGGGUGCGAGCGUUGUCCGGAAUUACUGGGCGUAAAGAGCUCGUAGGUGGUUUGUCGCGUUGUUCGUGAAAUCUCACGGCUUAACUGUGAGCGUGCGGGCGAUACGGGCAGACUGGAGUACUGCAGGGGAGACUGGAAUUCCUGGUGUAGCGGUGGAAUGCGCAGAUAUCAGGAGGAACACCGGUGGCGAAGGCGGGUCUCUGGGCAGUAACUGACGCUGAGGAGCGAAAGCUAGGGGAGCAAACGGG
Molecule: ribosomal RNA, 253 nt
Filed under: uncultured bacterium
Lineage: Bacteria
Description: partial 16S ribosomal RNA
Rfam family: Bacterial small subunit ribosomal RNA
Source: RNAcentral